CCUACGGGUGGCAGCAGUCGAGAAUCAUUCACAAUGGGGGAAACCCUGAUGGUGCGACGCCGCGUGGGGGAAUGAAGGUCUUCGGAUUGUAAACCCCUGUCAUGUGGGAGCAAAUUAAAAAGAUAGUACCACAAGAGGAAGAGACGGCUAACUCUGUGCCAGCAGCCGCGGUAAUACAGAGGUCUCAAGCGUUGUCCGGAAUCACUGGGCGUAAAGGGGGCGUAGGCUGUUUCGUAAGUCGGGUGUGAAAGGCGCGGGCUCAACCCGCGGACGGCACAUGAUACUGCGAGACUAGAGUAAUGGAGGGGGAACCGGAAUUCUCGGUGUAGCAGUGAAAUGCGUAGAUAUCGAGAGGAACACUCGUGGCGAAGGCGGGUUCCUGGACAUUAACUGACGCUGAGGCACGAAGGCCAGGGGAGCGAAAGGGAUUAGAUACCCUAGUAGUC
This 446-nucleotide ribosomal RNA is filed under the name uncultured bacterium. RNAcentral describes it as "partial 16S ribosomal RNA". It matches the Rfam family "Bacterial small subunit ribosomal RNA", at positions 338 to 795 of the family's 1533-position model. The record is from RNAcentral.